This is a long non-coding RNA of Oncorhynchus tshawytscha (Chinook salmon), 1563 nucleotides long. RefSeq lists it as uncharacterized. Lineage: Eukaryota; Metazoa; Chordata; Actinopteri; Salmoniformes; Salmonidae. The record is from RefSeq and is a predicted model, not a curated record. The transcript is spliced from 3 exons.
GUGGCCGAUUGGCCGUCGGGAGCCCGGGACAUUUCCCGGUGGCCUGAGGGUCGUUUUGGCCUGCCGUGAAUAGUCAACUUGACCAGCGACAAUAUAGCAAGCAGGAAUGAGUUGACUGAGAAUCCACGCAUCAGGCGUGACUCUCACUCUCUCGCUGCAGUGUCCCCGCGCCAAAAAUUACAUCAGGUCUCUCCGCGACGCACAUAGCAACCGUCUACAUGCUUCUCUACGGAUAGCAUUUUAGACAAGUCCCACGGCGAAAUGGACGGUCAGAAAAGGAAAGGUGAGGAAGGAAGCAGCAGCACUAGAGGUGCAACUGGAGAUGGUGGUCAGUUCAGAGUCAGACUCUGAGCAGGAACUUUCAGGUGAGUUGGCAGAAGACGAGCCCAUUGCUAAUGCAGACAUGGAUUACAAAAUCAAGAUCCACAAUGUGGUACUGGACACUGUUGAAGAAAGUAUCCACUGCUGUUAUGCAGCAAAUACAGUGCUGUGUGCAGAUGUCUCCUGCAUGAAUCCUGAAGCAUUUUCCUGAGAUCAGAGAAGAGGGCCUUCCAAAGAUGGCCAUCAAGGAGCUCAGCAAAUUCUUAUUGGAAUUUGAUGAACAUGCCACUGUAUUGAAGGCUGAACUGAUCAGCCUUGCACAACAGCGGGGAAGACUGAAACAGUCAGCAUUGGAGGAGUACAACACCAGGACUGCCGCCGCCAGUGAUGAAUCAGGGGAAGGCUUUGAGGACCCUGAUGAAAGUGUGGAGUUGGUGAGCAGAAUUUGUUCCACAUGUAAAAACUGCCCGUUACACUGCUAUCUUUUCCUGUCUCUACAAUCUGCUCACGGAUGCGUAUCACAUAAUCUGGUUUGGGCUACAAGUUCCUCCUCACCCUAUCCAUCACUCAGGUGGCUAGUGAGAGGACCUUCUCCACCCUGAAAUUUGUGAAGAACUGCCUAAGAACCUCCCUCACUCAAGAAAACCUUGAAGCGUUCCUUUUGAUGGCAACAGAGAAGGAGAUUCUUAUGGGACUUGACAAAGAUGACAUCAUUGACAAGAUGGCAGAGAGCAGUGAGUUAUUAUAUUACUUACUGGUUACUCUGAAGUAGCUAUGCUAUGACUCUUCCUUAACAGGCUGACAAGGGUGAAAGAAAAUUUGCUGUGAGUUAAAGCUUUUGUACAGAGGCAUGUUUUUUUGGACUUUUGUAUAAUACUUGCAGUUAUGUAGCCAAUGUUCAAUUUCAUUGACUCGGUGUAUAGACGUUUAUUUUUGUGCUGUUUGCUUUAUGGACACCAGUGAGUGCACAUUGUAAUCUACAUUUUCUUGUAGAGAAAUGCUUUUUCGACUUUUGUAUUAUAAUGACUUACAUUGUUGUAGCUUAUGUUCAAGUUCAGUGAAUGUGUGUGUGUAAAGUUUUGAUAUGCUUGAAUAUAAAGAUAAUCACUUGAGCUAACUCUGUGUAUCUCAUCCUCUUUUUAAAAAGUGUAGGCUCAUUGUUUUGUGUGUCUAGCCUUGUACAUUUGAAUGUGCUACAAUAUGAUUGGUGUAUUCCUAGUGAGUUUUUGAGGGUGCUCCAAU